Molecule: ribosomal RNA, 403 nt
Filed under: Verrucomicrobiota bacterium
Lineage: Bacteria; Pseudomonadati; Verrucomicrobiota
Description: Verrucomicrobia bacterium partial 16S ribosomal RNA
Rfam family: Bacterial small subunit ribosomal RNA
Source: RNAcentral
UGGGGAAUAUUGCACAAUGGGGGAAACCCUGAUGCAGCGACGCCGCGUGAGCGAAGAAGGCUUUCGAGUCGUAAAGCUCUGUCCUAUGAGAAGAUAAUGACGGUAUCAUAGGAGGAAGCUCUGGCUAAAUACGUGCCAGCAGCCGCGGUAAUACGUAUGGGGCGAGCGUUGUUCGGAAUUAUUGGGCGUAAAGGGUACGUUGGCGGUUUUGUAAGUUAGGUGUCAAAGAGUGGAGCUUAACUCCAUUAAGCACUUGAAGCUGAAAGACUUGAGUGAAGAAGAGGAAAGUGGAUUUCCUAGUGUAGCGGUGAAAUGCGUAGAUAUUAGGAGGAAUACCGGUGGCGAAGGCGAGUUUCUGGACUUGUACUGACGCACAGGUACGAAAGCGUGGGGAGCAAACAGG